Molecule: long non-coding RNA, 3665 nt
Organism: Trichosurus vulpecula (common brushtail)
Lineage: Eukaryota; Metazoa; Chordata; Mammalia; Diprotodontia; Phalangeridae
Exons: 2
Source: RefSeq, a predicted model, not a curated record
AGGGGCCCCGGGGAGACACAUGUGACAGCAUCCCCCCUUCAGCCCCCCAUUACCCCCGAGUCACAUGAGCUCCAGGAUUCAGUGUUGGGGCCGAGAGGCUGGCGCAGAGCAGGGUCAGCUGACGGUGCUGCCGCCCCUCGGCUUCAGUGUGGCCAAGCAGGGGCAUUAUCCCAGUCAGUCUGCAGAGCCGCUGUCCAGCCCGAUCGCGCAAUGGACCCCAUUGACGAGAAAAAGCUACGGGCCCUGCAGAUGUUGCAGCCACCGGGUCUGGGUAAGGGUCGCGCGCUGCUGGCCACCCUGCGGACUCUGAUGCUCUUCACCGCCGCGAUGAUCACCUUGCCCAUCGGUCUCUACUUCGUGUCUAAGACGUACCUCUUCGAAGGCAUGCUGGGCUUGCCUGCCAUCGACAGCUAUUUCUACUCCGCGAUCGUGGCCGUAGUCUCCGUACAUAUAGUGCUGGCCCUCUUCGUCUACAUGGCCUGGAACGAGGGGACCCGGCAGUGGCAGGAGGCGAGCAAGCUAGAAUAGGACAGCAGCCUCGCCCCGACGGCCCUCCCUCACACCCACCCCCAGACCCCCCAGCUGGGGAGGGGGGCCCAGCGAAAAGAUCCGGGGCUUGGGCGUGCGUGGGCAGGGCCGAUGGUGGGGGCCGCUGCUUUCCACCCGACCCGUGAAUGUUUGAGGAGACUCCAGUGUGGAUAUUGUGCUGACUAUGUCUCCAUUUUCCCUGAUUACGGCACCAGAAGAAGAGAGUUGCCGUCAUCUGCAAUGCCAGUCAAAGACUCCACAUAUUCUGUGAUUAAAAACACCUGCUUGUCCUUGUACCAAUGGAAACCAAGGAAAACUCCCCAGUUCUUCAUUUAUUUGGUUUCCACUCUGUGCUCUGAGAGAUCCAGCCUAAUUCAUUGGUGGCAGAUGCAGGACAGAUUUCAUUUCCAAAUUCAGAAGGCUGAAAGCUGAAGAUUUUGCUGAUUAUUACUGACAAUCAUCCUACCUACCAUAGAAUUCCAGGGCCUAUUACAGCCUUCCCCCACCUCCCUGGGCCUGUUUGGUCCUUUAGCUCAGAGGACCACCUGCUUCAUCUCAAAACCUAGGUCCAGAGUAGCCACUGUUCUCAGAUCAAGAUAGGGCUUGGCUUGGUCCUAUGCUUUGGGGUCUGUACCCUCCAUAAUCUAUACUAUUAUUCCGAAGGCAGUGUGGAGUAAUGGAAGGAGCACCAGAUUCAGACUCAGAAGACUUGGGUUUGAAUCCUAGAGCUCUACCACUAAUUAGAUGCAAUUUACUUUAGUAUUCUGACUCUCAGUUUACCCAUCCAAUAAAUGAGUUUAAAUUGGGUAAUUAAAAAAGGAUCAUGCCACCUCCAGCAUAGAUUAACUUCUGUAUAAAUUGGGUCAAAUCCAGUCACUUUUCUCAAUUUCAUCAUCUCAAGGGCCACCCCCACCUCCUUAGUAAAUCUGAUCCUGAGGGGUUAGGAAUCCAAAUGUGCCAGGUCCACUUUUGUCCCUCAUAAUAACCAGUCAUUGUAAAACCACUGAAAGAUAUGUUUCAUUUCACAUCUACUAGAUGUCUUUCUGGUUUUUAGCUAUAGGUAUUCUCAGUAUGAUCUAACUUACCUGGAUCUCACACCAAGCUCUCUGGAAUUCCAUGUUUUCAUUAAUUGUUUUUGCUUGUCUUGUGCAGCAAUGACACUGGUCUUCUGUCCUUCUCUAUAUAGUUUUUCAAAUGAGCUCAUAUUCUAAACUAUUGCUACCUGUGGCUGCUAUGUCUGCUUCACAAAAUUGAGUGCUUGACACCUGUGGCAGUUUCUGGCCUCUUUUGGUCUCCUUGUUGUGACAACUAGUCAGCAUAAUUUGGACUUUUCUAGGAAAUGGUGAUAAAAGCAAUUUUGUCCAUUUGUUUUUGUGGGACCCCCCCACCAUUUGAUUCUUGUUUUAACCUUUGCUCUAAUCAAAAUUAAUUAAUUGAUCUGAUUGUAUAACACCAGCUGACUCCAAAGUCACUGCUAUAGUGGAUCCAUGGUUUCCUAUCUUUUAAGGUAUGUUAGCUAUUUGGCACAUGAAGUGCUUUCUAACACUUCAGUUGAAAAUGUCCACAAUUUAUUGAUGUGAGGCUUCUGAAUGGUCCACAAGCCUUUGACCCCUUUCCUUUCUUGGUCCUGAACCAUAUUCUCCAAUGUAGUUUUUAUCAUCCUCACAUGACCGCUUGAGCAUCAAAAUUGUUAAUUUAGUUUAGAGAAUUUCAUCAAGUUAUUUAAAAAACCCAUUUUCUACCCUUUCCUCUGCAAUAUUUAUUGGUAUAUAAGCUUUAUUCACCUUUGCUGUGGCUUGUGAAAUUGGUGAAAACGGCAAGAUGAGAUAACAAAGCAUAGCAUGAAAUGAUAUUUCUUGUUGCCUUGGAGUGUGAUGAAAACAACUUGAACGCCUCAUAUAUUUACUUUGCUGAAGGAGAUUUAUGAGCUAUUCUUGCAUUUUGCUGUGGCUUUGUGACAGCUUCUAGUUUUAUUUAUAGCUAGAAUAGGGCUGAGUGGUUCAAUAUGGUAGAAUACAUGCAGUUCAACAUGGCAGUGGUCCUGCAUAGAGUCUAAAUGAAAGGAUUUCUUAUUGAAGACAAAGUUCUCCAAGUGCUCCUGUUUACAAGUGACUUGCAUCAAGCCCAGGAAUAAUACACUUCAUAUUUAGUACAGUGCCUGGCAUCUAGUAAACACUUGAAUGUUUGUUCACUGACCAACAGUGACAUAUCCAGAAAUGUGAAAGAAUUUAGUGUAUCCUUUGUGGAAAAACAAAGUGGAUAAAAAAUGAAAAUUCCUCAAAAUAUGUCAUGGUGGCAGCAAUCCAACUAGCUAGCCUGUUGAUAUAUGUUUUAUAGGCAAUGAGCUGGACCCAGAAUUUCAUGAGAAAAGAUUAGAUUGAAUUGAACAUAGAGAAUUGUGUAAUGCUUUGCUUUUAGUAAUCCCAAACUGCGUUGUUGUGAAAACCUAAUUCUUUAACUCUGUAUUUUCCCAGUGAUAUUAUAAAACUACUGAUCACGGAAUACCACAUUUUCAGGAAACUCAGUUAAAGACAACCUAAUGGGCAAAGGAAAGAUGCGUGGCAAUAGUGAAUUGUUGUAAGUGAUGGUUUAUGUAUAAGGUGUGACUCCAAAAGCAUCGAAGAGGGGACUAGCCCAGAAAAGGAUGUGGGCUCUUCUUGUAGUGAGAAUGAGAGAACAGAUGGAUGAUUCAAGGGGGGGGGGGGGGGACUCACAAGAUUCAAAGGUCUGCACAUUAGUUGGAUCAUCUCUGAAGGAUUCAUGGAAAAAUUUGGGCAAGACCAACAGAAGGUUGAAAAGGCAUCAAUGAAUUAUAUGGAGUAAAGGAUUGCCAGCAGAGUGGGGAUGCCAUUUUUGGGAACAGCAGCUUCCUGGGUAUCCCUUAAAUCAUGCCUGACUGGGAGCUACCUUCAUGGCUAAAUCCCUCCAUUUAAAAGCCUGAUAUUUUAGAAGAGAAGCAAGUAGGUAAGAGUAGGAGCUAAGGGUUUGUCUCUCUCAAACCUAAAGGGAAAGGAGGGAAAGAUCAAAGUAAAACAGGGAAGAUUAGUGAGAAAGACAGUGAAUUGUACCUAGAUGUGAUAUGUCUACAUCUUGCUCUAAAUGUUGUUAACUUUCAAAUAAACUAUCUAGUAACACCA